Molecule: ribosomal RNA, 253 nt
Filed under: uncultured bacterium
Lineage: Bacteria
Description: partial 16S ribosomal RNA
Rfam family: Bacterial small subunit ribosomal RNA
Source: RNAcentral
UACGUAGGCAGCGAGCGUUGUUCGGAGUUACUGGGCGUAAAGAGUGCGUAGGCGGUUUUCUAAGUUUGGUGUGAAAUCUCCCGGCUCAACUGGGAGGGUGCGCCGAAGACUGGAAGGCUUGAGUAUGGGAGAGGUAAGCGGAAUUCCUGGUGUAGCGGUGAAAUGCGUAGAUAUCAGGAGGAACACCGGUGGCGAAGGCGGCUAUCUGGACAGAAACUGACGCUGAGGCGCGAAAGCUAGGGGAGCAAACAGG